Molecule: unclassified non-coding RNA, 1000 nt
Organism: Pogonomyrmex barbatus (red harvester ant)
Lineage: Eukaryota; Metazoa; Arthropoda; Insecta; Hymenoptera; Formicidae
Source: RefSeq, a predicted model, not a curated record
GAUUAUCUUUAAUCUCAGUUUAGCUUUUAUUUUUUUUUUUCAGUUCUAAGAAUUAAAAAAAGAUAAGGAGUAAAUUAAAUUGAGAUUCAAAUUAAUCUAUAUUGGUAGUCAUGGAGUCGUAAGAAAGCGUGAUGUUAGCCAAAUAUGCGUUAUUCGCGUGGGCGUGAUACUUCAAUAUUCAUUUCGCCUAACCGCGAAAUGUCAUUGCCGCUCAUUCUCACUGUUUUCUACAAAUAUUUGUUGAAGAAAUAAGAUGGAGUGGCACGGAUGAUAGCGUUUGAAAGAACGAGGAAUGAAUAAUACUGACGCACUCCGCGAUAUUUUAUCAGGUGAGUCGAAUGAAGGUUUCCGGAGCAAUGAUGUGAUCGUAGUCAACGCGAUACGUUUUAGGACGCCAGUCGAUCUGCUUAUCCUUAUACGUCGCCGGCGGCAUCGUAAUCGCGACUAUAAUUUGCACCUGUUGCUGCACUCUAAUCGUGAGACACAAGUGUGCGAGGCUCAUUGAUAAGAUUACGGGAAGGCGAAAGAAAGAGUUAGUACGAAAACGUCCGUUGCACGACGGAAUUUUUCUCUCGACCGUAAUUUGAUAGAAUGUGGCGAAGAGAGAGAGUGAGCAAUCUGCGAAAUAUUUGUUGUUUAGAAAGCAUUUCUCUCGCGACAUCGAGGAGGGACGAACGAAAUUGCGGAAAAAGAAGAAGAGACUCCCGCCGCCGGACUUGCCGCAAACCGCGGUGACGGAUGUCACCGCGCCGAUUAUUACCCCCAGGGAACUGGAAAGAUUGGAGGAGAGGGAGUCUCCGACUCCCUGUUACAAGUGUUAUAGAAAAAAGAAAAAGGGACGGAGAGCAAAGAGGCAGACACGAUAGGAUCGAGAAGAGCGUAAGGUGGACGAGGAGGUUCCAUGCCUACGUCACCUAUUGCAUUGGAACAGCUAUCCCGCGGAGGGCCGCGGAAAGACGCACGCGGCGAUUGUACAUCGACUUCGACAGUUAAACCGCAA